GUAACAACAAAUCCCAUAAUUAUGUACUACUAUAAUGCAGCAAUAAAAAAUGUGGAAAAUAAAAAGAAAUGGGAGCAAAAACUGAUCCCAUUACUCCCUUUAACAUAUUGAUCUCCCAUAUUACCAGAUGGGAAAUUUCCAUAGUUCUGCAUAGGAUUGAGAGGUUCUCAGAGUAUUAAAGCCUUCUACACAUCUAGAAGUAUGGUGUGGAGAAAAAUAAUACUCUGUCUACUACCAUUCCAGUAAAUGCCAUGUUUCCAAAAUCACCUAAAGGUAGCUAACAUCGUGCACCAUGGAGAUGCAGAAUGUGGUAGUUGAAUAUAAUCACAAUUAAAUGAAAAGCAUCUCAGUCAGACUGGGGAUGUAGCUCGGUGGUAGAAUGCUUGCCUGUCAUGCAGUUCCAACCCCAACACUGAAACAAGAAAAAGAAAAAAGACAGUAAUCCCAGGCAUCCAGUGAGUUUAAGACUUAACUGUUGCCUAUGUUAGAGGUUCUGACCUAGGACACUCAAACCACCUGGAAUGUUAAAGUACAGAUUCUAAUUAGCAGUUAAGGAGAGGACAGCUGAGACUCUGGUUUUCUGAGAAAACAUAGCUUCAAGGUGCUUCUAGGUAUAUAUGCUACAGCUGCCCAUAAUAAACUCCAGAUCCUUUCCAAAGUUGGAAGGAGAAUGCAAAAUGACAUUAUGAACUUUUUCCAAUGAGGCAAAGUUCAUGGGAAAAUUAUAAAGUACUAAACAUAUGCCAUAUAUCAUAUGUUUCCUUGUUUCAUUUUAGACCCUGGACCGUGUAUGUACCUGGCAGGUAUGAUUAACAACAACAAAGACUCAUUAUUACUCCAAAUCCACCUGCCUCCUACCUAAAAACAUGCCACCCACUGAAACAUUAUUUGAUUUUGUGACACUAUGAAAGCUGUGGUUACAGAUAAACAAGCACAAUGAAUAAAGAGAGGUAUCCAAAUAGCAGGUGGAGAAGAAAAACAAGCAAAAAAGAUGAGAGAACAUUUGCUAACUAGAAAGAACUAUGUAUAAUAACUCUUAUUUGCCUUUGGGUUCAGUCUGGUUAUACUCUAUUCAGGUAAGGUUCAUGAUUUCCACAUUUGUAAAUGAAAGAACCACAGAUUUUCAUGAAAAGAUAAUAUGAAUGAAUGAAUUCAAUGUACUGUAAAUGAUCUCUUAUUGGGAGGAUAGAAGUUGGGGUUAGGAUAUAUGACCAAAAAAGUCAUUAUUGAAUACCUGCUAUAUAAAAACUACAUCAAUUAUAUAAUUAAUUUUCUCUCAACCUCAAUAAGUGAAUAUAUUAUUGGAUGGGGAGGUAGCUCAGUGGUAGAACCCUUGCAUAGCACACUUGAGGCCCUGCAAUCAAUCCCUAGCAUGCAUGCAUGCGCAUACACACAUACACACACACACACACAUGUUAUUAAAAUCCCCAUUUCAUAUUUAUGAAUCUAACCAUCAAAAGAAGUUAUAAAACUUGCCUAAAUUCAUAGACUGGCAGAACUAUACUUUCAAAUUCAUUUUUAUCUUAAGUAUUUAUUAUACCAUUUUAAUCCUUUUAAAGCUAUACGUUGAUUUCUGUUCUGAUACUGGCUAUUUUGAAUACCUAGAAGAACAAUAACACUAAUGAGUGUGGUGUGACUGGGAAGGGACACAUUGAGGACAAAUGCUUUUCAAAUUAA
Molecule: long non-coding RNA, 1677 nt
Filed under: Marmota monax (woodchuck)
Lineage: Eukaryota; Metazoa; Chordata; Mammalia; Rodentia; Sciuridae
Source: RNAcentral